UCAUCAGAGAGGGCUCACGCGAGCAUGAU
RNAcentral lists this small RNA (29 nucleotides) under Bombyx mori (domestic silkworm). RNAcentral's name for it is "ovarian small RNA-26031". The record is from RNAcentral. Lineage: Eukaryota; Metazoa; Arthropoda; Insecta; Lepidoptera; Bombycidae.